RNAcentral lists this long non-coding RNA (236 nucleotides) under Gossypium raimondii (Peruvian cotton). RNAcentral's name for it is "long non-coding RNA (GRAI_LNC006530)". The record is from RNAcentral. Lineage: Eukaryota; Viridiplantae; Streptophyta; Magnoliopsida; Malvales; Malvaceae.
AGAAAGUCCCUUUACUGUUUUGGUGAAAUGGAGGCAGGAAGGGUGCGUCAGGCCUCGGGACAACGCGCCUUAGGCGGCGUGCGUGCGAAACAGGAGAGGUGCGGCGCUAGAAGCUAGGGUUUUUUUUUUUGACAAUAGUUUCGGUCGUUGGGCCUUAGGGUUUGUGUCAUUUGGGCUUGUAUUGGGCCACAUUUGUUUAAGACGAACUUUAGACUGUUGAUUUUAUAUUUUAUUUU